CACUCCUACGGGAGGCAGCAGUGGGGAAUAUUGGACAAUGGGCGCAAGCCUGAUCCAGCCAUGCCGCGUGAGUGAUGAAGGCCCUAGGGUUGUAAAGCUCUUUCACCGGUGAAGAUAAUGACGGUAACCGGAGAAGAAGCCCCGGCUAACUUCGCGCCAGCAGCCGCGGUAAUACGAAGGGGGCUAGCGUUGUUCGGAUUUACUGGGCGUAAAGCGCACGUAGGCGGACUAUUAAGUCAGGGGUGAAAUCCCGGGGCUCAACCCCGGAACUGCCUUUGAUACUGGUAGUCUUGAGUUCGAGAGAGGUGAGUGGAAUUCCGAGUGUAGAGGUGAAAUUCGUAGAUAUUCGGAGGAACACCAGUGGCGAAGGCGGCUCACUGGCUCGAUACUGACGCUGAGGUGCGAAAGCGUGGGGAGCAAACAGGAUUAGAUACCCCGGUAGUCCCA
This 447-nucleotide ribosomal RNA is filed under the name uncultured organism. RNAcentral's name for it is "partial 16S ribosomal RNA". It matches the Rfam family "Bacterial small subunit ribosomal RNA", at positions 334 to 797 of the family's 1533-position model. The record is from RNAcentral.